AUGAACGUUGGCGGUACGCCUAAUACAUGCAAGUCGAACGGAGACUGUAGCAAUACUGUCUUAGUGGCGAACGGGUGAGUAACGCGUUGGUGAUCUGCCUCGAAGUGUGGAAUAACGGUUCGAAAGAACCGCUAAUACCGCAUAGUCUCUCUUAUUUUAGAAAUUUGAGAGUAAAGGAGUAAUCCGCUUUGAGAGGAGCCUGCGUCCCAUCAGCUAGUUGGUAGGGUAAAAGCCUACCAAGGCUAUGACGGGUAGGGGACCUGAGAGGGUGACCCCCCACAAUGGAACUGAAACACGGUCCAUACACCUACGGGUGGCAGCAGUAGGGAAUAUUAGUAAUGGAGGAAACUCUGAACUAGCGAUACCGCGUGUGCGAAGAAGGCCUUCGGGUUGUAAAGCACUUUUUGAGAGGAUGAGGAAGGACGGUACUCUCAGAAUAAGUCUCGGCUAACUACGU
Molecule: ribosomal RNA, 457 nt
Filed under: uncultured bacterium
Lineage: Bacteria
Description: bacterial SSU rRNA
Rfam family: Bacterial small subunit ribosomal RNA
Source: RNAcentral